AAAUGCGAUAAGUAAUGUGAAUUGCAGAAUUCAGUGAAUCAUCGAAUCUUUGAACGCACCUUGCGCUCCUUGGUAUUCCUUGGAGCAUGCCUGUUUGAGUAUCAUGAAAUCUUCAAAGUAAAUCUUUUGUUAACUCAAUUGGUUUCUACUUUGGUAUUGGAGGUCUUUGCAGCUUCACACCUGCUCCUCUUUGUUCAUUAGCUGGAUCUCAGUGUUAUGCUUGGUUCCACUCGGCGUGAUAAGUUAUCUAUCGCUGAGGACACUGUAAAAGGUGGCCAAGGUAAAUGCAGAUGAACCGCUUCUAAUAGUCCAUUGACUUGGACAAUACUUUUAUGAUCUGAUCUCAAAUCAGGUAGGACUAUCCGCUGAACUUAAGC
This 377-nucleotide unclassified non-coding RNA is filed under the name plant metagenome. Its description in RNAcentral is "partial contains 5.8S ribosomal RNA, internal transcribed spacer 2, and large subunit ribosomal RNA". The stretch from base 1 to 104 matches the Rfam family "5.8S ribosomal RNA", at positions 51 to 154 of the family's 154-position model. The record is from RNAcentral.